UGGGGAAUUUUGGACAAUGGGCGCAAGCCUGAUCCAGCCAUGCCGCGUGCGGGAAGAAGGCCUUCGGGUUGUAAACCGCUUUGUCAGGGAAGAAAUCUUCUGAGUUAAUACCUCGGGAGGAUGACGGUACCUGAAGAAUAAGCACCGGCUAACUACGUGCCAGCAGCCGCGGUAAUACGUAGGGUGCAAGCGUUAAUCGGAAUUACUGGGCGUAAAGCGUGCGCAGGCGGUUUUGUAAGACAGAGGUGAAAUCCCCGGGCUCAACCUGGGAACUGCCUUUGUGACUGCAAGGCUUGAGUGCGGCAGAGGGGGAUGGAAUUCCGCGUGUAGCAGUGAAAUGCGUAGAUAUGCGGAGGAACACCGAUGGCGAAGGCAAUCCCCUGGGCCUGCACUGACGCUCAUGCACGAAAGCGUGGGGAGCAAACAGGAUUAGAUACCCUGGUAGUCCACGCCCUAAAACGAUGUCAACUGGUUGUUGGGAAGGUUCCUUCUCAGUAACGUAGCUAACGCGUGAAGUUGGCCGCCUGGGGAGUACGGCCGCAA
Molecule: ribosomal RNA, 543 nt
Filed under: uncultured bacterium
Lineage: Bacteria
Description: partial 16S ribosomal RNA
Rfam family: Bacterial small subunit ribosomal RNA
Source: RNAcentral